Molecule: long non-coding RNA, 616 nt
Organism: Chiroxiphia lanceolata (lance-tailed manakin)
Lineage: Eukaryota; Metazoa; Chordata; Aves; Passeriformes; Pipridae
Exons: 3
Source: RefSeq, a predicted model, not a curated record
CGCCCCUCGCCGGGGCCGGCCCAGCGGGUGUUGUGCGGCUGCGGGCCCGGCCGGGCCAGCGGGGAGCCUGACCGCGGGCGGCGCCCCCUGCAACCGCGGGCGGCUUCGGGACAAAAUCUCGUUGUAAUAAACCAGAGGAUGCGGCGUGUCCUGGGGCCGUCAUUUAAAGGGUCUGCCCUGCGUUGGAACCUUGCCCUGGGGCCAGGCCCACGAGGAGCAGCCCCGGGCUGCCCGCAGACCCCCUGCACAAAGCCCGCCGUGCUGCCCCCCGGGGCGUGACUCCGGGUCAGCUGUUCCUGUGCAAACUCCAGCAGUUUAGUGAAAUGCCGCAGAAAACAAGUGAAAUCACUAAGAUUGUCAGUUUUAUGCAAGUGAAAAAAGAAAGAAUCUGCAAGACUGAUUUUUUUUUUUUAAUGUCUGUGAGGCCAACAGCUUUCCUACACCAGAAAACAACCUCCUCUGCCCCAUCAAUACAUACCUGUAAUGGAGUUGGGCAAGUAUACAGUGUAUUUUGGUGAACAACUUGCAAAUGCCUUAUCAGGUUUUCAGGGCCAAUGGACCAACCAAGCUAAGGGAGGAAAGCAAGCAUAGUAAAAUUAAAAAAUAAUGAAAAUUA